AUACGGAGGGUGCAAGCGUUACUCGGAAUCACUGGGCGUAAAGGGCGCGUAGGCGGUCUUGUCGGUCAGAUGUGAAAGCCCAGGGCUCAACCCUGGACGUGCAUUUGAAACAGCAAGACUUGAGUACGGGAGAGGAAAGCGGAAUUCCUGGUGUAGAGGUGAAAUUCGUAGAUAUCAGGAGGAACACCGAAGGCGAAGGCAGCUUUCUGGACCGAUACUGACGCUGAGGCGCGAAGGCGUGGGUAGCGAACAGGAUUAGAAACCCCGGUAGUCC
This 274-nucleotide ribosomal RNA is filed under the name uncultured bacterium. Its description in RNAcentral is "partial 16S ribosomal RNA". It matches the Rfam family "Bacterial small subunit ribosomal RNA", at positions 523 to 796 of the family's 1533-position model. The record is from RNAcentral.